CUGAGUACGGCGGAACACGUGAAAUUCCGUCGGAAUCCGGGAGGACCAUCUCCCAAGGCUAAAUACUCCCUAGUGACCGAUAGUGAACCAGUACCGUGAGGGAAAGGUGAAAAGCACCCCGGAAGGGGAGUGAAACAGUUCCUGAAACCGUGUGCCUACAAGUAGUUAGAGCCCGUUAAUGGGUGAUAGCGUGCCUUUUGUAGAAUGAACCGGCGAGUUACGAUUUGUUGCAAGGUUAAGCGGAAAAAGCGGAGCCGUAGCGAAAGCGAGUCUGAAUAGGGCGCAUAAGUAACAGGUCGUAGACCCGAAACCAGGUGAUCUACCCAUGUCCAGGAUGAAGGUAAGGUAAUACUUACUGGAGGUCCGAACCCACGCACGUUGAAAAGUGCGGGGAUGAGGUGUGGGUAGCGGAGAAAUUCCAAUCGAACUUGGAGAUAGCUGGUUCUCUCCGAAAUAGCUUUAGGGCUAGCCUCGAGGUAAAGAGUCAUGGAGGUAGAGCACUGUUUGGACUAGGGGCCCUUCUCGGGUUACCGAAUUCAGAUAAACUCCGAAUGCCAUGUACUUAUACUCGGGAGUCAGACUGCGAGUGAUAAGAUCCGUAGUCGAAAGGGAAACAGCCCAGACCACCAGUUAAGGUCCCCAAAUAUAUGUUAAGUGGAAAAGGAUGUGGGGUUGCUUAGACAACCAGGAUGUUGGCUUAGAAGCAGCCACCAUUGAAAGAGUGCGUAAUAGCUCACUGGUCGAGUGACCCCGCGCCGAAAAUGUACCGGGGCUAAACAUAUUACCGAAACUGUGGAUGAACCUCUUUAGAGGUUCGUGGUAGGAGAGCGUUCUAAGGGCGGUGAAGUCAGACCGGAAGGACUGGUGGAGCGCUUAGAAGUGAGAAUGCCGGUAUGAGUAGCGAAAGAAGGGUGAGAAUCCCUUCCACCGAAUAUCUAAGGUUUCCUGAGGAAGGCUCGUCCGCUCAGGGUUAGUCGGGACCUAAGCCGAGGCCGAUAGGCGUAGGCGAUGGACAACAGGUAGAGAUUCCUGUACCAGUGCUAAUUGUUUAACCGAUGGGGUGACACAGAAGGAUAGGGAAUCGCACGAAUGGAAAUGUGCGUCCAAGCAGUGAGUGUGAGAAGUAGGCAAAUCCGCUUCUCGCGAAGCAUGAGCUGUGAUGGGGAAGGAAAUUAAGUACGGAAGUUCCUGAUUUCACGCUGUCAAGAAAAGCCUCUAGGAAGAGUAGUACUGCCCGUACCGCAAACCGACACAGGUAGAUGAGGAGAGAAUCCUAAGGUGAGCGAGAGAACUCUCGUUAAGGAACUCGGCAAAAU
Molecule: ribosomal RNA, 1316 nt
Filed under: Listeria monocytogenes serotype 1/2a
Lineage: Bacteria; Bacillati; Bacillota; Bacilli; Caryophanales; Listeriaceae
Description: partial 23S ribosomal RNA
Rfam family: Bacterial large subunit ribosomal RNA
Source: RNAcentral